Molecule: long non-coding RNA, 475 nt
Filed under: Heterocephalus glaber (naked mole-rat)
Lineage: Eukaryota; Metazoa; Chordata; Mammalia; Rodentia; Bathyergidae
Description: lncRNA (ENSHGLG00000032108.1)
Source: RNAcentral
UGGUGCUCUGGUGUCCCCAGGUGGGCACUCGGGGCCUGACCACUGCCCAGCUGUGCAGGAGAGCUCAGCCCGGGACCCGGGGCUCUGCAAAAGUCUCCAUCCUUGCUAAAACUGCUGCCAAAUGUGUGGCUUCCACCAGAAGCGAGAAGAAAUCUCCACGUUGGUUCUUCCAGGAACAGAAAUGGCUCGGUGAACACCUCGUCUCUCGGAGCUCCAGCUCAGAGUCCGCUGCCUGCUUCUGUCCACCUGCUCUCGUGGGUUGCAUUUGAAAUGGCAGUGCAAGGCUGGGACUCUGGGCCGUGGCCGCCAGGUGCUCCGCCCACCCCGCUGAGUGGCUGAGGAAGCGGGAUGGGCCCGCCACCGCCAGCAGGACAUGAGCUGAGGCAGGCGGUGAGGACGCAGCGUUGGGUAAGAGCAACAGCCAGUGAGCUGCGUGUCACCCCUCAAUACCCACGUGGUCCGCGCUGUCAGGGGC